This 213-nucleotide ribosomal RNA is filed under the name uncultured Leptotrichia sp. RNAcentral describes it as "partial 16S ribosomal RNA". It matches the Rfam family "Bacterial small subunit ribosomal RNA", at positions 144 to 354 of the family's 1533-position model. Lineage: Bacteria; Fusobacteriati; Fusobacteriota; Fusobacteriia; Fusobacteriales; Leptotrichiaceae. The record is from RNAcentral.
UAACAGGAAGGGAAACUUCUGAUAAUACUGGAUAAGUUAGUAUAUCGCAUUAUAUGCAAAUGAAAGCUACGGCACUAAAGGAGAGCUUUGCGUCCUAUUAGCUAGUUGGUAAGGUAAGAGCUUACCAAGGCGAUGAUAGGUAGCCGGCCUGAGAGGGUGGACGGCCACAAGGGGACUGAGAUACGGCCCUUACUCCUACGGGAGGCAGCAGGC